GUGGUUUAAUUCGAAGCAACGCGCAGAACCUUACCAACCCUUGACAUCCUGUGCUAACCCGAGAGAUCGGGCUUUCCCUUCGGGGACGCAGUGACAGGUGCUGCAUGGCUGUCGUCAGCUCGUGUCGUGAGAUGUCGGGUUAAGUCCCUUAACGAGCGAAACCCUUAUCUCUAGUUGCCAGCGAGUAAUGUCGGGGACUCUAGAGAGACCGCCGGUGUCAAACCGGAGGAAGGUGGGGAUGACGUCAGGUCAUCAUGGCCCUUACGGCCAGGGCUACACACGUGCUACAAUGGUUGGUACAACGGGCUG
Molecule: ribosomal RNA, 309 nt
Filed under: Pseudo-nitzschia fraudulenta
Lineage: Eukaryota; Bacillariophyta; Bacillariophyceae; Bacillariales; Bacillariaceae
Description: partial Bacterial small subunit ribosomal RNA
Rfam family: Bacterial small subunit ribosomal RNA
Source: RNAcentral